This 785-nucleotide long non-coding RNA is filed under the name Chloebia gouldiae (Gouldian finch). RNAcentral describes it as "Erythrura gouldiae (Gouldian finch) lncRNA (ENSEGOG00005018845.1)". The record is from RNAcentral. Lineage: Eukaryota; Metazoa; Chordata; Aves; Passeriformes; Passeridae.
GGGACAGGGGAUCCCUGUGACUGCUCUCACCCCAUUUCCCUCCCUGUUUUUCCCCAAUUUCUCCUGUUUUUGCCCCGUUGCAGGCGCACAAAGCGGCGCUGUGACUGCUCCAAUCCUGUUUUUUCCCAAUUUCACCGNNNNNNNNNNUUUCACCGUUUUUCUCCCGUUUUUGCCCCGUUGCAGGCGCACGAAGCGGCGCUGCGUGCGGGUGAUCAGCACGCCGCGGCGCCCGGUGCCGCUGGAGCAUUUCCUGUUCACCGGGAACAGCUCCCGCACCCGGCACCAGCUGUUCCAGCUGCUGGGCCCGGGCGGGGCCUUCAGCACGCAGGGGUACUACGCGGCCGUGGAGGCCAAGAAGGAGCAGAGCAGCAAACACGCGCAAAGCUUCGGGGCGCGGCAGCCCACCAUGGGCGGCCCCAACCCCGGGCAGGAGCGGGGGGUGUGGCUGUCCCUGCUGGAGACCCUCCGGGAGCGGGAGCUGCUGCCCGCCGUCGCCUUCACCUUCUCGCGGGGCCGCUGCGAGGAGCAGGCGGCGGCGCUGGGCUCGCUGCAGCUGCUCGGCGCCCCCGAGCGCGCCCAGGUGCGGCACUUCCUGACGCGCUGCCUGGCCCGCCUGCGCGGCUCCGACCGCCGCCUGCCCCAGGUGCUGCAGCUCUCGGAGCUGCUGCAGCGCGGCAUCGGCGUCCACCACGGCGGGGUGCUGCCCCUGCUCAAGGAGAUCGUGGAGAUGCUCUUCAGCCAAGGGCUGGUCAAGGUGUGUGGGGACAGGGGCUGCAGCCGCCUGU